UACAGAGGUCUCAAGCGUUGUUCGGAUUCAUUGGGCGUAAAGGGUGCGUAGGCGGCAAGGCAAGUCAGGUGUGAAAUCCCGGAGCUCAACUCCAGAACUGCACUUGAUACUGCCCUGCUAGAGUACUGGAGAGGAGACUGGAAUUUACGGUGUAGCAGUGAAAUGCGUAGAUAUCGUAAGGAAGACCAGUGGCGAAGGCGAGUCUCUGGACAGUUACUGACGCUGAGGCACGAAGGCCAGGGGAGCAAACGGG
RNAcentral lists this ribosomal RNA (253 nucleotides) under uncultured bacterium. RNAcentral's name for it is "partial 16S ribosomal RNA". It matches the Rfam family "Bacterial small subunit ribosomal RNA", at positions 524 to 776 of the family's 1533-position model. The record is from RNAcentral.